RNAcentral lists this ribosomal RNA (328 nucleotides) under Clostridioides difficile. RNAcentral's name for it is "bacterial SSU rRNA". It matches the Rfam family "Bacterial small subunit ribosomal RNA", at positions 354 to 700 of the family's 1533-position model. The record is from RNAcentral. Lineage: Bacteria; Bacillati; Bacillota; Clostridia; Peptostreptococcales; Peptostreptococcaceae.
GUGGGGAAUAUUGCACAAUGGGCGAAAGCCUGAUGCAGCAACGCCGCGUGAGUGAUGAAGGCCUUCGGGUCGUAAAACUCUGUCCUCAAGGAAGAUAAUGACGGUACUUGAGGAGGAAGCCCCGGCUAACUACGUGCCAGCAGCCGCGGUAAUACGUAGGGGGCUAGCGUUAUCCGGAUUUACUGGGCGUAAAGGGUGCGGAGGCGGUCUUUCAAGUCAGGAGUGAAAGGCUACGGCUCAACCGUAGUAAGCUCUUGAAACUGGGAGACUUGAGUGCAGGAGAGGAGAGUGGAAUUCCUAGGGUAGCGGUGAAAUGCGUAGAUAUUAG